UAACGAAUAUUGGGCAAUGGGCGAAAGCCUGACCCAGCGACGCCGCGUGCGGGAGGAAGUCCCUCGGGAUGUAAACCGCUGUCAGGGUGAAGAAAGACCGCAAGGUUUGAUCUAACCCAGAGGAAGCAACGGCUAACUUCGUGCCAGCAGCCGCGGUAAUACGAAGGUUGCAAGCGUUGUUCGGAAUCACUGGGCUUAAAGCGUAUGUAGGCGGAUGAGUAAGCGUUUUGUGAAAUCCCUCGGCUUAACCGAGGAAUUGCUUGGCGAACUGCUCAUCUUGAGGCAAAUAGGGGUGCAUGGAACUCUUGGUGGAGCGGUGGAAUGCGUAGAUAUCAAGAGGAACGCCAGCGGCGAAAGCGGUGCACUGGAUUUGUCCUGACGCUCAGAUACGAAAGCGUGGGGAGCAAACG
Molecule: ribosomal RNA, 410 nt
Filed under: uncultured prokaryote
Description: bacterial SSU rRNA
Rfam family: Bacterial small subunit ribosomal RNA
Source: RNAcentral